RNAcentral lists this ribosomal RNA (301 nucleotides) under uncultured bacterium. RNAcentral describes it as "partial 16S ribosomal RNA". It matches the Rfam family "Bacterial small subunit ribosomal RNA", at positions 509 to 809 of the family's 1533-position model. The record is from RNAcentral.
CAGUCGCCACGGUAAUACGUAGGGUGCAAGCGUUAAUCGGAAUUACUGGGCGUAAAGCGUGCGCAGGCGGUUAUAUAAGACAGAUGUGAAAUCCCCGGGCUCAACCUGGGAACUGCAUUUGUGACUGUAUAGCUAGAGUACGGCAGAGGGGGAUGGAAUUCCGCGUGUAGCAGUGAAAUGCGUAGAUAUGCGGAGGAACACCGAUGGCGAAGGCAAUCCCCUGGGCCUGUACUGACGCUCAUGCACGAAAGCGUGGGGAGCAAACAGGAUUAGAUACCCGCGUAUCCCUGUCUCUUAUACA